AAGAGGAUUCGUUUCAGGUAUUGAUACCAUCAAACUGUAUUAGUAAAGUUACAUAAAUUUAUAACUGACUUAAUACCAAGAAUCAAAUCUUGCGUUAGAUUAUUUGACUAUUGACCUCCCUCCAUACAUCUUCAGCCUGGCUUCUGAUUAUUUUACUGAUUAUUUUAACACUGACUUUAACUUGAGUAAACCGUCAUCAGUGGCGUCGAUAGAACUUGUUCAUACUUGCACAUUCAUGGUUAUCUCUCUUUCUCUCUCAUACAACUGGCAUUACUAAAUAAAUUGAGGAAUAGAUGCUUCGAGUCAAUGCAUAUGUUAUGUGGAAUUCAACUCUAUUGCUUGUAAAUAAUUGCUGAUGCAAUACUAUGCUCUUUGCUGUGAGUUAAUGUGUGUGCAAUGUGGAAUAAACUUCAAAUUUAUGAACAGCAUUACGAUGUGCUUUACCAUUUUGAGCUUCGGCACUGAAUAAUUGAGAUGUCUAUAAAAUAUAGAAGGAAAUCUUUUAGUCGCAAGUUUUGAAGGGAAACAGCCAUUAAGAAAAUUGGAAAUCGCUUGCGUAGAACACUUUGAUUACCAUGCUUAUGGAACAAGAAACUGCAAUUUAAAUUUAGUUUCAAUGAAUGCCAUUCACUGUUUGUCCCUCAAAUCUGGCGGAGCCAUCUAAAUACAGUGCCUACUUCCUGCAAAAUGACAACUUGUAUGCAACCAUAUGGCCUUUCCAACAAAUGUUGUUUUACCAACCACUUGAGUAAUCAAGCAGACCGAGUCUCUCAUAUUACAAAAUAUGUUCAUUUGGUGAUUCUGUGGCAUGCCUCAAUUCAUUAGCAAUUGAAUUUUUUAUUGUUUCCUCUUUUCUUACGUUCCAAUCAUCUUGUACAGUCGGAA
Molecule: unclassified non-coding RNA, 885 nt
Filed under: Hevea brasiliensis (rubber tree)
Lineage: Eukaryota; Viridiplantae; Streptophyta; Magnoliopsida; Malpighiales; Euphorbiaceae
Source: RNAcentral